Molecule: ribosomal RNA, 138 nt
Filed under: uncultured eukaryote
Lineage: Eukaryota
Description: partial 18S ribosomal RNA
Rfam family: Eukaryotic small subunit ribosomal RNA
Source: RNAcentral
UGGUGGAGUGAUUUGUCUGGUUGAUUCCGAUAACGAACGAGACGAGCGUAUUUUGCUGGUUGCUUUGUUUCUCACGAAACUCACAACCUCCCAAAUAGACAACUCAUUUCUAAUGAGAGGAAGCCGCUCGCAAUAACA